This 258-nucleotide long non-coding RNA is filed under the name Apteryx owenii (little spotted kiwi). RNAcentral's name for it is "lncRNA (ENSAOWG00000002706.1)". Lineage: Eukaryota; Metazoa; Chordata; Aves; Apterygiformes; Apterygidae. The record is from RNAcentral.
GCACAGCCGAAGUCCCUAGACCUUGUGUUUUGAAAAUGCUGUGAGUCGUAAGAAGACAACAGGGCCAUGUUCAGCAAGGACGUGAUGGCCAAAUAUUUGCCUGUGGAUGAAGGCAUCUGGAGAGUCCAAACCACAAGGUGUUUUGCUUGGAAAAUAGAGCUGAACUCAGGAAGCACCUGUGGAGUGGGGUUGAAAGCCUUGUCAAAUGGCUACGCACUUUGUGCUCCUGGAAAAUAUGCGAUGGGGAUUUUGAGCUAG